RNAcentral lists this ribosomal RNA (530 nucleotides) under uncultured bacterium. Its description in RNAcentral is "partial 16S ribosomal RNA". It matches the Rfam family "Bacterial small subunit ribosomal RNA", at positions 355 to 874 of the family's 1533-position model. The record is from RNAcentral.
UGGGGAAUAUUGCACAAUGGGCGCAAGCCUGAUGCAGCCAUGCCGCGUGUGUGAAGAAGGCCUUCGGGUUGUAAAGCACUUUCAGCGAGGAGGAAGGUGGUGAGCUUAAUACGCUCAUCAAUUGACGUUACUCGCAGAAGAAGCACCGGCUAACUCCGUGCCAACAGCCGCGGUAAUACGGAGGGUGCAAGCGUUAAUCGGAAUUACUGGGCGUAAAGCGCACGCAGGCGGUUUGUUAAGUCAGAUGUGAAAUCCCCGGGCUCAACCUGGGAACUGCAUUUGAAACUGGCAAGCUAGAGUCUCGUAGAGGGGGGUAGAAUUCCAGGUGUAGCGGUGAAAUGCGUAGAGAUCUGGAGGAAUACCGGUGGCGAAGGCGGCCCCCUGGACGAAGACUGACGCUCAGGUGCGAAAGCGUGGGGAGCAAAACAGGAUUAGAUACCCUGGUAGUCCACGCUGUAAAACGAUGUCGAUUUUGGAGGUUGUGCCCUUGAGGCGUGGCUUCCGGAGCUAACGCGUUAAAUCGACCGCCU